GAACAGUAUGUAGGAUUGUGGCCAAAACUGGUUUUGCAAUCACAAAACUUGUGGCUAAAACUGGUACUGCAAUCACACAACAGGGGCCUGUUGCACAAAAGUAGAAUUAAGACAUCCUGGCUAAAUGACUGAGCUGAGCUCAAUGAAGCCAAAACAAGUGCGUCCACGCUUAAUUGGUUGCACAAAGACCAAGCCAGGAUGAUCAGACACGGAUUCAUCAAGCCAGGUGAAACCAAUCCUGGAUAGGUGCGCGCUCACGGCUCACUCAACUAGACCCCGCCACCGAUCACAGAUUCACCGAUUCACCAUGGCAACUAGCGGCGUUCUUUUCCCCGUCAGAGGCACAAAUCCAUACGAGGAGGUAAAAGACAUAAUUAAGAAGAAAGGCAACACCGCCACAGUGGUAAAGCAGAGAGAAAAAGCGUGGCAAAGUAUUGCAGACCGCCUGAAUGCAUUAAAUAUGACCGGGCCAAAACGGACAUGGCAGCAGGUCAAAAUCAAAAUCUGCAGAAUGCAGUGAAAAAGAAUACCCACAGACAAGGCACGGGUGGUGGGUCACCAAAAGCUGACCUCAUCCCAGCAGAGGCCAGCUUUGGAGUUAAAUAAAGGCAGGCCUGUUGGAGGGAAUCCCUGCGGGAAAAGAGACAAGCAUAGGUCCCUCACAAGAUGCCACCCGCUUCAUACAAGUGUCUGGCAGCACUGUGUUACUGUUAAAGCCACCAGCACGAGCACCUGACGAUGCUGAUCCAGUGAGUACUCCAUCAAAGGCAUACUGUAGGCCUGGCAUGUCUUGUCUACUAGCUUCAAUAUGAAUCCGAUUAAAUGUGAUGGGGUCAAGGCCCCAUUUCAUCAGCACAUAACGGCGAUGAUGAUGAGGAGACCAUCUCGCUGGAUUCCAAAAGGCAUAAGGACCCAGAGUCAUUGGUGCACUGGACUGCACAAACAUAAGGAUAAAAUCCCCCUCAGGUGCCCAUGAGGCAGAUUUUGUAAAUAUGAAAUCUUUUUACAGCAUUAAUGUUCAGGUGAACAUAACUUUUUGAUCUUUUCCAUUGAACACUGGCAAAAUGGCCUGGCUCAGUCCAUGACUCCAGAAUCUUUCGAACCUCUGAAAUCUAUCAGCGCCUAUCACAAGGUGAAUUCUCGGGUGUGUUGCUGAGAGACAGGGGGUAUGGCUGCCAGCCGUUUUUCCUGACACCUUUUACAGACCCCCAGGAAGCACAGCCGGCCUACAACUAUGCCCAUGUUAGGGUCAGAGUUGAAAUGACCUUUG
Molecule: non-coding RNA, 1270 nt
Organism: Paramisgurnus dabryanus
Lineage: Eukaryota; Metazoa; Chordata; Actinopteri; Cypriniformes; Cobitidae
Source: RefSeq, a predicted model, not a curated record